CCUACGGGGGGCUGCAGUGGGGAAUAUUGGACAAUGGGGGGAACCCUGAUCCAGCCAUGCCGCGUGUGUGAAGAAGGCCCUCGGGUUGUAAAGCACUUUCAGUGAGGAAGAACGCCUGGUGGUUAAUACCCAUCAGGAAAGACAUCACUCACAGAAGAAGCACCGGCUAACUCCGUGCCAGCAGCCGCGGUAAUACGGAGGGUGCGAGCGUUAAUCGGAAUUACUGGGCGUAAAGCGCGCGUAGGUGGCUUGAUAAGCCGGUUGUGAAAGCCCCGGGCUCAACCUGGGAACGGCAUCCGGAACUGUCAAGCUAGAGUGCAGGAGAGGAAGGUAGAAUUCCCGGUGUAGCGGUGAAAUGCGUAGAGAUCGGGAGGAAUACCAGUGGCGAAGGCGGCCUUCUGGACUGACACUGACACUGAGGUGCGAAAGCGUGGGUAGCAAACAGGAUCAGAUACCCUAGUAGUC
This 465-nucleotide ribosomal RNA is filed under the name Vreelandella stevensii. Its description in RNAcentral is "partial 16S ribosomal RNA". It matches the Rfam family "Bacterial small subunit ribosomal RNA", at positions 338 to 795 of the family's 1533-position model. The record is from RNAcentral. Lineage: Bacteria; Pseudomonadati; Pseudomonadota; Gammaproteobacteria; Oceanospirillales; Halomonadaceae.